UGCAGGUCCAAAAAUAAAGUAUUUCAAGUUUUUAUUAAAAUGUAAUUUUAAUAGUAUUUUUAAUAUAGAAUGGCCGCUUGUAGCCUUCAUAUUAAAAGCACUAACAUGUUGAUAUAUUGUCUUGAGUAGCGUGUUACCGGGACCAUCCAACAUAUCCAAACGUCAUUCUCAUGUUGUGUAGUUGUGUACAGGUUGCCAGGGCAACCUAUAUUCGCUUUAGUUUUUGAUGUUAGUACACCUAAAGUAAUAUAAAUGUCUUUCAAAUAUUGAGAUGUCCACCACCGACUGGGUACCUCCGCCAGACCAGCUUACUA
Pelobates cultripes (western spadefoot toad) is the source of this 314-nucleotide non-coding RNA. Lineage: Eukaryota; Metazoa; Chordata; Amphibia; Anura; Pelobatidae. The record is from the annotation of a GenBank genome assembly.